GAUGAGCGCUGGCGGCGUGCCUAAUACAUGCAAGUCGAGCGAACGGACGAGAAGCUUGCUUCUCUGAUGUUAGCGGCGGACGGGUGAGUAACACGUGGAUAACCUACCUAUAAGACUGGGAUAACUUCGGGAAACCGGCGCUAAUACCGGAUAAUAUUUUGAACCGCAUGGUUCAAAAGUGAAAGACGGUCUUGCUGUCACUUAUAGAUGGAUCCGCGCUGCAUUAGCUAGUUGGUAAGGUAACGGCUUACCAAGGCAACGAUGCAUAGCCGACCUGAGAGGGUGAUCGGCCACACUGGAACUGAGACACGGUCCAGACUCCUACGGGAGGCAGCAGUAGGGAAUCUUCCGCAAUGGGCGAAAGCCUGACGGAGCAACGCCGCGUGAGUGAUGAAGGUCUUCGGAUCGUAAAACUCUGUUAUUAGGGAAGAACAUAUGUGUAAGUAACUGUGCACAUCUUGACGGUACCUAAUCAGAAAGCCACGGCUAACUACGUG
This 497-nucleotide ribosomal RNA is filed under the name uncultured bacterium. Its description in RNAcentral is "partial 16S ribosomal RNA". It matches the Rfam family "Bacterial small subunit ribosomal RNA", at positions 28 to 507 of the family's 1533-position model. The record is from RNAcentral.